Molecule: ribosomal RNA, 253 nt
Filed under: uncultured bacterium
Lineage: Bacteria
Description: partial 16S ribosomal RNA
Rfam family: Bacterial small subunit ribosomal RNA
Source: RNAcentral
UACGGGGGGGGCAAGCGUUGUUCGGAAUUACUGGGCGUAAAGGGCGCGUAGGCGGCGUGACAAGUCACUUGUGAAAUCUCUGGGCUUAACCCAGAACGGCCAAGUGAAACUGUUGUGCUAGAGUGCAGAAGGGGCAAUCGGAAUUCUCGGUGUAGCGGUGAAAUGCGUAGAUAUCGAGAGGAACACCAGAGGUGAAGACGGGUUGCUGGGCUGACACUGACGCUGAGGAGCGAAAGCGUGGGGAGCGAACAGG